This is a small nuclear RNA of Physeter macrocephalus (sperm whale), 106 nucleotides long. Lineage: Eukaryota; Metazoa; Chordata; Mammalia; Artiodactyla; Physeteridae. The record is from Ensembl.
GCGCUCGCUUUGGCAGCACAUACGCUAAAAUUGGAACGAUACGGAGAAGAUUAGCAUGGCCCCUGGCAAGGAUGACACACAAAUUUGUGAGGCGUUCCAUAUUUUU